GGGGUCGUAGCCCAAUGGCAGGAGGCACAGGUUUUAGGUACCUGACAGUGUGGGUUCGAAUCCCACCGACCCCA
This 74-nucleotide transfer RNA is filed under the name Sphaerisporangium viridialbum. RNAcentral describes it as "tRNA-Leu". It matches the Rfam family "tRNA". Rfam says of the family: Transfer RNA (tRNA) molecules are approximately 80 nucleotides in length. Their secondary structure includes four short double-helical elements and three loops (D, anti-codon, and T loops). Lineage: Bacteria; Bacillati; Actinomycetota; Actinomycetes; Streptosporangiales; Streptosporangiaceae. RNAcentral also lists the same sequence under 11 other names. The record is from RNAcentral.